GACGUAGGGGGCCAGCGUUGUUCGGAAUUACUGGGUGUAAAGGGUUCGUAGGCGGUGCGGCAAGUUGGGAGUGAAAUCUCUGGGCUCAACCCAGAGGCUGCUUCCAAAACUGCUGUGCUUGAGUGUGAGAGAGGCUCGUGGAAUUGCAGGUGUAGCGGUGAAAUGCGUAGAUAUCUGGAGGAACACCGGUGGCGAAGGCGGCAUCCUGGACCGGUAUUGACGCUGAGGAGCGAAAGCCAGGGGAGCAAACGGG
This 253-nucleotide ribosomal RNA is filed under the name uncultured bacterium. RNAcentral describes it as "partial 16S ribosomal RNA". It matches the Rfam family "Bacterial small subunit ribosomal RNA", at positions 524 to 776 of the family's 1533-position model. The record is from RNAcentral.